RNAcentral lists this long non-coding RNA (206 nucleotides) under Elaeis guineensis (African oil palm). Its description in RNAcentral is "long non-coding RNA (EGUI_LNC011113)". The record is from RNAcentral. Lineage: Eukaryota; Viridiplantae; Streptophyta; Magnoliopsida; Arecales; Arecaceae.
GGAUACCAUAGUAAAAUUCUACUUCAAUGUUUGCACCUUAUUGGGGGAACUAAUUUGUGGUUCCCUUUUGAUGCAUUCACGGAUAUUUUUAUCGAAUAGGCUAUCUGCCUAGAAGGAUGAGGAGCUUGUGAUUGGUCUUGAAUUGAAAUAGUAGGGCAGUAGUGAAAGAAGAAUAUGUUGGAAUUGAAAUGUUAAAUAGAGAAGGC